CAAAUCCUGAGGUGUUCGUUGAAGCUCAUAUCGUCUUGACCGAACAUAUCGUCUUUGGGAGUUGCUCAUUUUGGAAUGGCAAACAUGCCCUCUACUUUGUAGGGGGACUUUUAAAGUUUCAAAUACGACACCCACCUGCUAGAGUGCGGGUUCAAGGCUAUUUGCAUUACUCGACGGCACAAUCGGGAUUUGU
This 193-nucleotide non-coding RNA is filed under the name Rummeliibacillus stabekisii. Its description in RNAcentral is "6S / SsrS RNA". It matches the Rfam family "6S / SsrS RNA". From Rfam's summary of the family: E. coli 6S RNA was the first non coding RNA to be sequenced, but its function was unknown until recently. It consists of 184 nucleotides that fold into an extended hairpin structure with a large single-stranded internal bulge. The 6S RNA specifically associates with RNA polymerase holoenzyme containing the sigma70 specificity factor. The record is from Rfam by way of RNAcentral. Lineage: Bacteria; Bacillati; Bacillota; Bacilli; Caryophanales; Caryophanaceae.